ACACCUCCGAGCCCAGCCCAACGUAGGAUUAGGGUAAGGCCCCGUCGCACGCCUGCCUGCACGGCCGCACCGCGCCACCGUCCCACGCGUUGCGCCUCCGCGCGCGGCGCCCGCCCGGUCUCCUCUCCUCCAGCCUCCAGCCGUUGCCGCAGGCAAGCCCUCCGAGGGCUCAAGCCCACCACGCGCGACGCCCCCCCCCCCCCCCCCCCCCCCACACACACACACACUCCUUGAGCUGCGGCCUGGUGGCUCUUGAGUUGCGACAAACCGAUGAUGCCGCCCACCGGAGAAGCUCCUGCUGGAUCCAUGCCCUUGCGGCAAGGCCACUUCGUCGUGGAGCCGCCGCCGGGACCUGCUGUCAACGCCAACCCCUCCAGUACAGAUGGCACGAGAUUUGAUGCAUCACAGUAUGUUUUUUUUGGCAAUAAUGUGCUGGAGGAGGUGGAACUAGGUGGACUGGAAGAUGAUAAUGACAGUGAUGCUGCUUUCAUUGGACUCAAUGAUGUAGAGCGCCCACUUUCUUCUCAAGGAAAUGUACUAGAGCUGAGAAGAGAUGUCAACCUACCGAACCAUAUUGGAAUAAAUAGCCUGGAUACUUCUUUUUCAAGAGAAAGUUCUGCUGCUGCUAACUGGACUCCAGAAUUUGAAUCCCCACCCUGGCCCAAUCAAUAUGUGCUAGAUGCAAGGCAAGGGCACGAUAGCAAUGACUGGUGGCCUCCACAACAUCAUUCUUCUCGCUUUGCUGAUUCCAGAUUACACAGGACAUCCUCAUCCCCUCAGCAACAGGAACAACACAAUGAACCUGUUCUUGGACCAAGGCCAUCUCCUUUGCACAGGACAUCCUCAUACCCACACAAUGAACCUCAAUACAAUCCUGCUGAAGCCAUUCCUGCUCCAAAUGCACCAUACAAUUCACACAAUCCGCCUGGUGGACCACCCAAUUCAUUGCUUGGGCAAGCGCAUCAGAUGAACAUGUCAUCUCGCAAUGAAUUUCAGAUGCAUAUGUCUGCCCAAAGUGAUGACCCGUUCUCCCAGUUUCCUCAUGGAGGGCCACCUCCAGAGCCCUUUGGUGGAAACCUGGGUCAUAUGGUUUCAACAGGCUUCUCAACAAACAGCAGUGGACCAAAAAAUCUUAUGCUGAAUAAUGGACAGAUUCAUGGGGAAAUUGUCAGUAUCGUGCCGAAUUCGGUGCCGAACCAUCUACAACGUCCUAAUGCAUUCAUGCCCCCUCAAAUGCUGCCGAUGCGCAAACAGCAUGGCAUGCUCCCAGCUCAGCAAUCUCCGCAACACUUAUCAAGAACUCAAGCACAUAUGUUUGGCCUCCAGGCUCCAGCAUCCACCACAGAUGAUGAAUAGGUUUGAUAAUUUUGGGGUGCCUGAGUUCAGCGAUCCAAGGGCAAGAUCAUCAUUGCACCAUGGAAGGCAAGGUCACCAUUUUGCUCUCCAAGGCUCUGAAUUUGGUAUUAUGAGGAUGGGUAAUGGCCUAAUGGGAGGCCACGGUUUAGAUCCAAGUAUAUGUCCACUGAAGAACUUGAAAACAUUUCAAGAAUACAGCAUGCUGCCACUCACAUAAAUGAUCCAUACAUUGAUGAUUAAUUGAUUAUUACCAUCAAGCUUGUCUGGCCAGAAGAUCUGUGGAUGCAAGGUUGAAGCACCACUUCUGUCCCACCUUGAUAUUGGAUCCAUCUUCUCGUGCACGCAGUAAGGAUGAGCCGCAUGCAUACCUAAAGGUCGAUGCCCUUGGGAGGCUGCCAUUUUCUUCCAUCCGGAGGCCACGUCCACUUCUUGAUGUUGAACCAGCUUCUACAACUGAGGAUAGCACUCUUGUUUCAAAGUCUCUUGAUCAGGAACCUAUGCUAGCUGCUAGGAUCACAAUUGAGGAUGGCCUCUCCUUACUACUUGAUAUAGAUGAUAUUGAUCGCUUGCUUCAGUUUAGCCAGCAGCAAGAUGGUGGUUUGCAACUUAGAAACAGAAGGCAGACUCUGCUUGGUCAGCUGGCAGAAUCACUGCAGUUGGUUGAUCCACUAGGUGCAAAUAAGAAUAGACAUUUGUCAGCAAAUGAUGAUUUGGUAUUUCUUCGCAUUGUUUCUCUACCCAAGGGUCGGAAGCUACUUUCACGCUAUAUCAACCUCAUGGUUCCCGGUAGUGAUCUUGCACGGAUAGCUUGUAUGGCAGUGUUCCGGCAUCUGAGGUUUGUGUUUGGCAAUUUGCCCUCUGAUGAUGGCUCAGCACAGACAGUAACUAAGCUAGCCAAUGCUGUAGCUGCAUGCAUACGUGGGAUGGACUUAAGUGGCCUCAGUGCUUGUCUUGCAGCAAUUGUAUGCUCGUCAGAGCAUCCACCUCUUCGACCCCUUGGAUACACUGCUGGCGAUGGUGCCACCGUCAUCAUAAAGUCUGUCCUGGAUAGGGCAACAGAGCUUCUCACCGAGCAGCUUCCUGCAUCAAAUUACAACAGAGCCCUAUGGCAGGCAUCGUUUAAUGCUUUCUUUGGGCUGCUUACAAAGUACUGCAUAGGUAAAUUUGACAGCCUAGUUCAUACAACACACACUGCAACAGCGAUAAGAAGGGAGCUGCCAAUUGAGCUUCUGCGUGCCAGUCUUCCUCAUACAGAUGAGCAACAGCGUGCACUAUUACUUGAGUUUGCCCAACGGACAGUGCCGGUCACUGGCCAUAGUUCUCAAAGGGCUCCUGGUCGAACCAUGGCAUCUGAAACAGUCCCAAGUUAAGGUGGUCAGCAGAGAUAAGUUGAAGCAUUAGAUAUGGGUUUUCUUCUAUGGUAUAAACGCCCAAUGAAUUGAACAUUCCUUGCGCCUGCCCCACCAGAAGAUAGACCAGGCUGGAGAUAUGACACGUACGUAAGAAGCACAAGCUACAUCUGAGCUUGGGGCAUCCUGGUAAUAUGGAUGUAUGUCCAAGGUUUGAAUUGAUUACUCCCUUAAGCUACAGUAUUUUCUCUGCAUUGUUGUAUCACACCACCAGUUGAAUUAGCAGGGUGCUUCCCUUCUGGACAGGGCUGUGUUUUGUUGCCCAUGGCCAUGGGAGGGAACUGAACAACUGCUAUUUCUAGGUUAGCAGCUGUACAGGUCUUUCCUUGAAGGCAAUGUCCAUCACAAGGAAGUGUUUCAAGGUGUAGUUGUUUUCGUUUGCAAUAGUUGUUAGAGGCAUGCAAGAUUCUUCUUUCACUUUGGAAUAUAAUAUGCUCAUGCCAAAACCCAUAACCCAUUGUUGGGAUAACCUGUACACUUGCCAAUGCUUGGAAAUUGGUCUUUUGGUUCUGUAGCCAUCUCAAGAUUGUUGUUUUUCCCCUCGUAUAUUCGUGUAAGUGAAUACAUUAGCUUAUGAAGCUGUCGAGUUUGUAAUGAGCUCAUUGAAUUUGGUUCCGGUGGUUCUGGGUUCUAACACAUCAAUAAGCUCUGUAUGACAUCUUGAUGCUCUGCUUCUGGGAAACUGAGAAUUGCUAUG
This is an RNA transcript of Panicum virgatum (switchgrass), 3462 nucleotides long. It is a transcript of the gene named protein PAT1 homolog, with no coding region annotated. The transcript has 4 exons. NCBI's taxonomy places the organism in Eukaryota, Viridiplantae, Streptophyta, Magnoliopsida, Poales, Poaceae. The record is from RefSeq and is a predicted model, not a curated record.